This 1004-nucleotide long non-coding RNA is filed under the name Heterocephalus glaber (naked mole-rat). Its description in RNAcentral is "lncRNA (ENSHGLG00000048403.1)". Lineage: Eukaryota; Metazoa; Chordata; Mammalia; Rodentia; Bathyergidae. The record is from RNAcentral.
CUUCCAGUGACUGUCAGGACAACCUCGGAGCGUGCGUGGCUCCUGCAGGUGGGUUUGCACAGAUGGACGGUGCACAAUGGUGCCAACCCCUAGCCCACCUCCGCCGUCCCACUCUGCCCAGUCUCAGGCAGCGUUGCCUGCUGCCAGCCGGUCUGAAGGCGCCUAUCUGGGGACAGUGGGGCAGGUCUCUACCUUCACCUGUUCCGAGGCUCUUCCUGGUCAGUUGCCUCUGCGCGCCAGAGGGUGGCACCCUAGGCACUCCGGAGGUGGAGUGGAAGGGAGAGUAAAGGAGGAAGAAAGGCGGAAGGAAAAGUUCAUUCUCAGACCCGGCCUCCAGUUUCCCGGGUGAAUUAGGGGGCAGAACCCCCUUUCAUAAUCCCUUAGGGUAAAAUCCUAAGGUUCUGCCCGACUAGAUAUCAGAGACGAAUUUCUAAGACGAAAAAGGCUUGCGAGGGUUAUUUAUAACCAAAUAACUUGUUCAGUCUGGGAAUCCGAAGAGAAGUUAAUUUCUGCGGCCGCUGCGGACACCGUUGCUGGAUUUGUGUGACUCGGUGAAGGAUGAUGCCCUGAGGGUGAUCUCCGCCUUUAACAUUCCACGCACCAAUCGCCGGAAUUCCCAACGCGAGGGCCACCUGGGCCUUCCACCUGAACCGAGACAGCGGCUGGCCGGGGAAGUGGCUCGCUCGCUCUCCGCGGCCCAAGCCGCAAGCUAAACUGUGACUGGAGUGGAGGGAACUGCGGUGGCUGGUCGGGAACUGCGGUGGCUGGUCGGCAGCUGCUCCACAGGGGCCUAGAAAUUGGGCAGAGGCCAGGAUGGCACGUGCGGUGUCGCAGCCCACUGGGAUUCUGGUCACCGAGCAGCAGUCUGGGACAGGCUGGCGAGACGCGGGGAAAGCGGCUGGGAGAGACCCAGACUGCCACCUAGACAGUGCAGUGCUUCACUCUCUCCAAAAACCCUGCCUGGCCCGGCCGCGACCUCGCCCAGCCUGGGCGCCUGAUCCCCC